GAUGAACGCUGGCGGCGUGCCUAAUACAUGCAAGUCGAGCGAACAGACGAGGAGCUUGCUCCUCUGACGUUAGCGGCGGACGGGUGAGUAACACGUGGAUAACCUACCUAUAAGACUGGGAUAACUUCGGGAAACCGGAGCUAAUACCGGAUAAUAUAUUGAACCGCAUGGUUCAAUAGUGAAAGACGGUUUUGCUGUCACUUAUAGAUGGAUCCGCGCCGCAUUAGCUAGUUGGUAAGGUAACGGCUUACCAAGGCAACGAUGCGUAGCCGACCUGAGAGGGUGAUCCGCCACAACGGAACAGGAACAAGGUCCCGGCCCCUACGGGAGGCAGCAGUAGGGAAUCUUCCGCAAUGGGCGAAAGCCUGACGGAGCAACGCCGCGUGAGUGAUGAAGGUCUUCGGAUCGUAAAACUCUGUUAUUAGGGAAGAACAAAUGUGUAAGUAACUAUGCACGUCUUGACGGUACCUAAUCAGAAAGCCACGGCUAACUACGUG
This 497-nucleotide ribosomal RNA is filed under the name uncultured bacterium. RNAcentral's name for it is "partial 16S ribosomal RNA". It matches the Rfam family "Bacterial small subunit ribosomal RNA", at positions 28 to 507 of the family's 1533-position model. The record is from RNAcentral.